RNAcentral lists this microRNA precursor (84 nucleotides) under Bombyx mori (domestic silkworm). Its description in RNAcentral is "mir-2807 microRNA precursor family". It matches the Rfam family "mir-2807 microRNA precursor family". The record is from Rfam by way of RNAcentral. Lineage: Eukaryota; Metazoa; Arthropoda; Insecta; Lepidoptera; Bombycidae.
UUAACUCAUAUUUGUAUGGAAUGGGAUCGUUUGCCUACGUUUGCCGCUAGGGGCGCUGUUCCAACUGCAUACAAAAUUGGGUUA